GGGUCUGUAGCUCUAACUGGGAGAGCGCCUAUCUUGCAAAUAGGAGGUUGCGGGUUCAAAUCCCGUCUGAUCCA
RNAcentral lists this transfer RNA (74 nucleotides) under Alkalinema sp. RU_4_3. RNAcentral's name for it is "tRNA-Ala". It matches the Rfam family "tRNA". From Rfam's summary of the family: Transfer RNA (tRNA) molecules are approximately 80 nucleotides in length. Their secondary structure includes four short double-helical elements and three loops (D, anti-codon, and T loops). Further hydrogen bonds mediate the characteristic L-shaped molecular structure. tRNAs have two regions of fundamental functional importance: the anti-codon, which is responsible for specific mRNA codon recognition, and the 3' end, to which the tRNAs corresponding amino acid is attached (by aminoacyl-tRNA synthetases). tRNAs cope with the degeneracy of the genetic code in two manners: having more than one tRNA (with a specific anti-codon) for a particular amino acid; and 'wobble' base-pairing, i.e. permitting non-standard base-pairing at the 3rd anti-codon position. The record is from RNAcentral. Lineage: Bacteria; Bacillati; Cyanobacteriota; Cyanophyceae; Leptolyngbyales; Leptolyngbyaceae.